CGAUGGCGGAUCGGGUGAGAGGCGCCAAGAUGAACUGGACCAGAGUAAUAAGGACAUGCACAGACAAAUCAAAUGACCAUCACACAACUAAUAGCCCCCUGCCCUCUAUGGAUGAGUUUGAAAAGCACAAAAACCCAGAGAGUUGAAGUAAUUGUUCAUGGAACGUAUGUCCCACAAGAUGCACGCAACCCUGUUACUGUAUCCUUUUUCGCACGGUAGAAGAAGAAAGCGGUGACUCACGAUACGCUGGACUUGACAUCAGUUUUCCAAAAGAAUGGGUAGAACAAAGAAUUUGCAUCAAGAUUGAAGGGACGACCUGCGAUAUGGAAACUCAUGGAGCUCAUUCUGAAGGAAAAUGGAGGU
This is a long non-coding RNA of Phyllopteryx taeniolatus (common seadragon), 363 nucleotides long. RefSeq lists it as uncharacterized. NCBI's taxonomy places the organism in Eukaryota, Metazoa, Chordata, Actinopteri, Syngnathiformes, Syngnathidae. The record is from RefSeq and is a predicted model, not a curated record. The transcript has 3 exons.